Ornithorhynchus anatinus (platypus) is the source of this 833-nucleotide long non-coding RNA. RefSeq lists it as uncharacterized. The record is from RefSeq and is a predicted model, not a curated record. The transcript is spliced from 3 exons. Lineage: Eukaryota; Metazoa; Chordata; Mammalia; Monotremata; Ornithorhynchidae.
AGGCGAGCCGGGAUGAGCCCGGUGAACAACGCACCGUCGUUCCCCGGGGCCCGGGGCCUCUAUCCCCCUCUCCUAGGCGCUCUGGAGGAUCGGGCGUAGACUGACCAGCCCAUCCGAGGACUCCCAGCACCAUCACUCUGGAAACAGCGGCCCGGGAUCGGGAUCCCUCCUCCUCUCCGAAGCUCUUCGGCUCCAGCAUCCUACUUGUGGCAUCCUUGGGGGCCCGGGACCAGGGCAGAAGGGAGCCCCCGCCUCGCCCCACACCUCAUCCCUGUCCGGGAGAGGGGGGAGAGGGGGGGAGAGGAGGCCGGACGCUCGGACUCCACUCUUCCUUUCACGCUCCUGUCGGUCUGCGGCCCUUCUGGCUCUCCAGCUGAGCUGCCCAGGUGAUCCUGCUGACAGAAGCUUCCCAGAGCAGCAGGACUUAGUCGCUUGUGACUUUAAGAGCACUGGUCCUAAUCGUCUGACGUGGUGCCAUUAAUAUUGCCACGGUCCCCAAUAGUUGGUGUUCCCUGUGAAGAAUCAGCCAGAAAACAAGAAAAAUGGGAAAAUGCCAAAUGGAGACAUCCUGAAGCGGCCAGAUUCUUCUGUAAGAAUCAGACCUUCAACCUGGGAAUUAGACCUUGCACCAGCAGAGAGCCUGAGCUGAUGUGGUGACCCAGGUUCUGCUACAGAGAUGGAACCAACCACAUUUAUCUUGGGUUUCACAGCUAGCGCAAACCCAGAGUGAUGUAUCUCUGCAUCGAUAAGAAACUGGUGAUGGGCAGAUGAAAGCUUUGAGACUUUUCACGUUUUACCCUGUUCACUAAUAAAGCUUGGGAGCAAACACUUUC